This 497-nucleotide ribosomal RNA is filed under the name uncultured bacterium. RNAcentral's name for it is "partial 16S ribosomal RNA". It matches the Rfam family "Bacterial small subunit ribosomal RNA", at positions 28 to 507 of the family's 1533-position model. The record is from RNAcentral.
GAUGAACGCUGGCGGCGUGCCUAAUACAUGCAAGUCGAGCGAACAGACGAGGAGCUUGCUCCUCUGACGUUAGCGGCGGACGGGUGAGUAACACGUGGAUAACCUACCUAUAAGACUGGGAUAACUUCGGGAAACCGGAGCUAAUACCGGAUAAUAUAUUGAACCGCAUGGUUCAAUAGUGAAAGACGGUUUUGCUGUCACUUAUAGAUGGAUCCGCGCCGCAUUAGCUAGUUGGUAAGGUAACGGCUUACCAAGGCAACGAUGCGUAGCCGACCUGAGAGGGUGAUCGGCCACACUGGAACUGAGACACGGUCCAGGCUCCUACGGGAGGCCGCAGUAGGGAAUCUUCCGCAAUGGGCGAAAGCCUGACGGAGCAACGCCGCGUGAGUGAUGACGGUCUUCGGAUCGUAAAACUCUGUUAUUAGGGAAGAACAAAUGUGUAAGUAACUAUGCACGUCUUGACGGUACCUAAUCAGAAAGCCACGGCUAACUACGUG